RNAcentral lists this ribosomal RNA (465 nucleotides) under Vreelandella stevensii. RNAcentral's name for it is "partial 16S ribosomal RNA". It matches the Rfam family "Bacterial small subunit ribosomal RNA", at positions 338 to 795 of the family's 1533-position model. The record is from RNAcentral. Lineage: Bacteria; Pseudomonadati; Pseudomonadota; Gammaproteobacteria; Oceanospirillales; Halomonadaceae.
CCUACGGGUGGCAGCAGUGGGGAAUAUUGGACAAUGGGCGAAAGCCUGAUCCAGCCAUGCCGCGUGUGUGAAGAAGGCCUUCGGGUUGUAAAGCACUUUCAGUGGGGAAGAAAGCCUUGGGGCUAAUACCCUCGAGGAAGGACAUCACCCACAGAAGAAGCACCGGCUAACUCCGUGCCAGCAGCCGCGGUAAUACGGAGGGUGCGAGCGUUAAUCGGAAUUACUGGGCGUAAAGCGCGCGUAGGCGGUCUGAUAAGCCGGUUGUGAAAGCCCCGGGCUCAACCUGGGAACGGCAUCCGGAACUGUCAGGCUAGAGUGAAGGAGAGGAAGGUAGAAUUACCGGUGUAGCGGUGAAAUGCGUAGAGAUCGGGAGGAAUACCAGUGGCGAAGGCGGCCUACUGGCCUGACACUGACGCUGAGGUGCGAAAGCGUGGGUAGCAAACAGGAUUAGAUACCCCGGUAGUC